AGAUUAAGUUAUUAAGGGCGCACGGUGGAUGCCUUGGCACUAGAAGCCGAUGAAGGACGUUACUAACGACGAUAUGCUUUGGGGAGCUGUAAGUAAGCUUUGAUCCAGAGAUUUCCGAAUGGGGAAACCCAGCAUGAGUUAUGUCAUGUUAUCGAUAUGUGAAUACAUAGCAUAUCAGAAGGCACACCCGGAGAACUGAAACAUCUUAGUACCCGGAGGAAGAGAAAGAAAAUUCGAUUCCCUUAGUAGCGGCGAGCGAAACGGGAAGAGCCCAAACCAACAAGCUUGCUUGUUGGGGUUGUAGGACACUCUAUACGGAGUUACAAAGGACGACAUUAGACGAAUCAUCUGGAAAGAUGAAUCAAAGAAGGUAAUAAUCCUGUAGUCGAAAAUGUUGUCUCUCUUGAGUGAAUCCUGAGUACGACGGAGCACGUGAAAUUCCGUCGGAAUCUGGGAGGACCAUCUCCUAAGGCUAAAUACUCUCUAGUGACCGAUAGUGAACCAGUACCGUGAGGGAAAGGUGAAAAGCACCCCGGAAGGGGAGUGAAAUAGAACCUGAAACCGUGUGCUUACAAGUAGUCAGAGCCCGUUAAUGGGUGAUGGCGUGCCUUUUGUAGAAUGAACCGGCGAGUUACGAUUUGGUGCAAGGUUAAGCAGUAAAUGUGGAGCCGUAGCGAAAGCGAGUCUGAAUAGGGCGUUUAGUAUUUGGUCGUAGACCCGAAACCAGGUGAUCUACCCUUGGUCAGGUUGAAGUUCAGGUAACACUGAAUGGAGGACCGAACCGACUUACGUUGAAAAGUGAGCGGAUGAACUGAGGGUAGCGGAGAAAUUCCAAUCGAACCUGGAGAUAGCUGGUUCUCUCCGAAAUAGCUUUAGGGCUAGCCUCAAGUGAUGAUUAUUGGAGGUAGAGCACUGUUUGGACGAGGGGCCCCUCUCGGGUUACCGAAUUCAGACAAACUCCGAAUGCCAAUUAAUUUAACUUGGGAGUCAGAACAUGGGUGAUAAGGUCCGUGUUCGAAAGGGAAACAGCCCAGACCACCAGCUAAGGUCCCAAAAUAUAUGUUAAGUGGAAAAGGAUGUGGCGUUGCCCAGACAACUAGGAUGUUGGCUUAGAAGCAGCCAUCAUUUAAAGAGUGCGUAAU
This 1142-nucleotide ribosomal RNA is filed under the name Staphylococcus aureus. RNAcentral's name for it is "partial 23S ribosomal RNA". It matches the Rfam family "Bacterial large subunit ribosomal RNA", at positions 1 to 1138 of the family's 2925-position model. Lineage: Bacteria; Bacillati; Bacillota; Bacilli; Caryophanales; Staphylococcaceae. The record is from RNAcentral.